UCCGGUGGCCAUGGCGGCGGGGCCACACCCGUUCCCAUUUCGAACACGGUCGUUAAGCCCGCCAGCGGCGAUGGUACUUGGCUGGAGACGGCCCGGGAGAGUAGCACGCCGCCGGAC
This 117-nucleotide ribosomal RNA is filed under the name Candidatus Hydrogenedentota bacterium. Lineage: Bacteria; Pseudomonadati; Candidatus Hydrogenedentota. The record is from RNAcentral.